Molecule: long non-coding RNA, 896 nt
Organism: Molossus molossus (Pallas's mastiff bat)
Lineage: Eukaryota; Metazoa; Chordata; Mammalia; Chiroptera; Molossidae
Exons: 4
Source: RefSeq, a predicted model, not a curated record
GCGAUCUUUUUUGUAUCAUGGUUGACACUUGCAGUCAGUCAUACACACAGUACAGAGAGAACUCCACAUGAACGGCUCACGUGGUGACAUGCUCUCUGUCACACCACAAAAUACCUUCUUCAUUAAAACCAACAAACUUAUGUGAGUCAGUGAAUUCCUUGUUCAUGAAUCUCUUUGGACAGACGCUCCUGAGGCAGGUGAACAAGGAGGCUCAAGGCCAUCAGGGUCUGUCCGGUGCUUUGUCAACAGCCAGACUGCACAUCUAUUGCUCUGGGACAGCAGCUGCUACUCGUGGUGGGGAUGUUUCAACUUUUCCUCCAUCUAAGAAGAAAGACCGGAUUUAAAGAAGGCGGAGGAGCAAAAGUAACCGAUUAAAGCACACAUAGGAAGCCUGCUUUUUGUUCCCUGUUUACCAAGAUGGUCUUUCAGAUUCAAGGUUGCAACACUUUAAAUGAAAAUAUACAUAAGCCAACAUCUCACCUGUCUGAAACAGGGCUCAGCGUGGGACAGCGGCACUGUAUUGCUCUACCAGGAUCUUAGAUCAAAGGGAUCGGAAAAGUCUAAAGACGGGGUGAAGACGCUCAGGAAACCGGCCGAAAAGGGGGCUCAGCGUGGGACAGCGGCACUGUAUUGCUCUACCAGGAUCUUGGAUCAAAGGUAUCGGAAAAGUCUAAAGACGGGGUGAAGAGCUCCCUAGGACUUGACGUUAGCAUGACUCGUGGCGUGCUGGGGGAACACCGUCAGCCCUGCCCUCUUGCCUGCUGUCCAGUCUCUGUCCCCUCAGCUCCAUCCCCUCCAUCCGGAUCCUCUCCACCCGUCCCGUCACCGGAACCGCGCCCUCUGACCGCGCUGCAGCUGGACGGCGUGCUGGGAGCCGAGACCAUUCUGCUUUCCCU